Beta vulgaris subsp. vulgaris (sugar beet) is the source of this 404-nucleotide long non-coding RNA. RefSeq lists it as uncharacterized. The record is from RefSeq and is a predicted model, not a curated record. The transcript is spliced from 2 exons. NCBI's taxonomy places the organism in Eukaryota, Viridiplantae, Streptophyta, Magnoliopsida, Caryophyllales, Amaranthaceae.
CGGGUUGCUGUUGUUCGUGGUCCGUGGUGCCGCUGACGGUCUUUUUUUUUCCUUUCCCCUGCUUGCGCCCAUCUCUGUCUCCUCUCGCUGGUUGUUGUUGCUGCUCAUCUGCGACGCGGUGUCGCUACUGGUGGUAGCCGCCACCUCUUGGAGUUGCUGCAGUGGUGUGUUACCUCUUGUAAAGUAUCUUAUAUGUUUCAGGUUGAAGCCGUGAGUUAUUCUUUUGCAAGCUGAAGCGGAUACGAGAUGGUGCAGUAUUAUAUUUGUUAUUGAAGUGAGGACGCUCCACUUGUAAUAGUUAAAUCGUUUAUUUUCUAUAAUGUAUUUUCUUCAUUUAAGAACCGAUAGCUAGUGCUCCUGAUUCUCUGUUGGUUGUUGCUCCGCGAAAGCGUUGAGGUUGUUUA